RNAcentral lists this small RNA (83 nucleotides) under Olleya aquimaris. Its description in RNAcentral is "Olleya sp. L-4 Flavo-1 RNA". It matches the Rfam family "Flavo-1 RNA". The record is from Rfam by way of RNAcentral. Lineage: Bacteria; Pseudomonadati; Bacteroidota; Flavobacteriia; Flavobacteriales; Flavobacteriaceae.
UGCUUGCCUGCGUUAAGGAUUGUAACAGAAAUCCUUUUUGUGAGGCACGAGCAAAAAGAUUGGAGUGAAAAGCCUGACGCACU